CAGCCGCCGCGGUAAUACAGAGGGUGCAAGCGUUAAUCGGAAUUACUGGGCGUAAAGCGCGCGUAGGUGGUUUGUUAAGUUGGAUGUGAAAUCCCCGGGCUCAACCUGGGAACUGCAUCCAAAACUGGCAAGCUAGAGUAUGGUAGAGGGUGGUGGAAUUUCCUGUGUAGCGGUGAAAUGCGUAGAUAUAGGAAGGAACACCAGUGGCGAAGGCGACCACCUGGACUGAUACUGACACUGAGGUGCGAAAGCGUGGGGAGCAAACAGGAUUAGAGACCCCUGUAGUCCCUGUCUCUUAUAC
RNAcentral lists this ribosomal RNA (301 nucleotides) under uncultured bacterium. RNAcentral's name for it is "partial 16S ribosomal RNA". It matches the Rfam family "Bacterial small subunit ribosomal RNA", at positions 509 to 807 of the family's 1533-position model. The record is from RNAcentral.